This 85-nucleotide transfer RNA is filed under the name Felis catus (domestic cat). It matches the Rfam family "tRNA". From Rfam's summary of the family: Transfer RNA (tRNA) molecules are approximately 80 nucleotides in length. Their secondary structure includes four short double-helical elements and three loops (D, anti-codon, and T loops). Further hydrogen bonds mediate the characteristic L-shaped molecular structure. tRNAs have two regions of fundamental functional importance: the anti-codon, which is responsible for specific mRNA codon recognition, and the 3' end, to which the tRNAs corresponding amino acid is attached (by aminoacyl-tRNA synthetases). tRNAs cope with the degeneracy of the genetic code in two manners: having more than one tRNA (with a specific anti-codon) for a particular amino acid; and 'wobble' base-pairing, i.e. permitting non-standard base-pairing at the 3rd anti-codon position. Lineage: Eukaryota; Metazoa; Chordata; Mammalia; Carnivora; Felidae. The record is from Rfam by way of RNAcentral.
GUCUGGGUGGCUCAGUCAGUUAAGCGUCUGACUUCUGCUCAGGUCAUGAUGUCACGGUUCGUGGGUUCAAGCCCCACAUCGGGCU